Molecule: ribosomal RNA, 856 nt
Filed under: Flavobacterium psychrophilum
Lineage: Bacteria; Pseudomonadati; Bacteroidota; Flavobacteriia; Flavobacteriales; Flavobacteriaceae
Description: partial 16S ribosomal RNA
Source: RNAcentral
GCGUGCGCUACCGGCCAUUGUAGCACGUGUGUAGCCCAAUGCGUAAGGGCCGUGAUGAUUUGACGUCAUCCCCACCUUCCUCACAGUUUACACUGGCAGUCUUGCUAGAGUUCCCGACAUGACUCGCUGGCAACUAACAACAGGGGUUGCGCUCGUUAUAGGACUUAACCUGACACCUCACGGCACGAGCUGACGACAACCAUGCAGCACCUUGUAAAUUGUCUUGCGAAAAGUCUGUUUCCAAACCGGUCAAUCUACAUUUAAGCCUUGGUAAGGUUCCUCGCGUAUCAUCGAAUUAAACCACAUGCUCCACCGCUUGUGCGGGCCCCCGUCAAUUCCUUUGAGUUUCAUUCUUGCGAACGUACUCCCCAGGUGGGAUACUUAUCACUUUCGCUUAGCCACUGAGAUUGCUCCCAACAGCUAGUAUCCAUCGUUUACGGCGUGGACUACCAGGGUAUCUAAUCCUGUUCGCUACCCACGCUUUCGUCCAUCAGCGUCAAUCAAUUUGUAGUAACCUGCCUUCGCAAUUGGUAUUCCAUGUAAUCUCUAAGCAUUUCACCGCUACACUACAUAUUCUAGUUACUUCCAAACUAAUUCAAGCCAAACAAGUAUCAAUGGCCCGUCCCAUCGUUGAGCGAUGGGCGUUCACCACAUGACUUAUCUGGGCCGCAUACCGACCCCUUUAAACCCCAAUGAUUCCGGAAAUCGCGUUGGACUCCUCCGUAAUAACCGACGCUGCGUGCACCGAAAUAAGCCGAUCCUGAAUCUCCACGAGCGGUAAGCUACCUACAACGGAUUGUACUACUGUGCAAAACAAGUUACAAUCGAUAGACGGUGAUCCUGCACCGGCAUUGCC